Molecule: unclassified non-coding RNA, 268 nt
Filed under: Hevea brasiliensis (rubber tree)
Lineage: Eukaryota; Viridiplantae; Streptophyta; Magnoliopsida; Malpighiales; Euphorbiaceae
Source: RNAcentral
GUGCAGGAGGUGGCCGAAUCUGGACUGCAGAUGCCAAUUCGACGUUCUUGCUUCUAGAUCCAACCAACGCAUCAAAAAUUUCCUCAGCUCUUAAAUCUCCUAUGAAUGAUGCUGUACCAUAUAUAACUGCACGGCUUUCUCGCUUCGAAUUCACCUAUGUAUUUCCUGUCACCUUCGGGACGAAAUUCAUUCGCCUCUACUUUUAUCCAUCUUCCGACCCUUAUUUCAGCAGGUCAAUCCCUUUUUUCUCUGUCAAAGCCAAUCGCUA